This 446-nucleotide ribosomal RNA is filed under the name uncultured Pelagibacterales bacterium. Its description in RNAcentral is "bacterial SSU rRNA". It matches the Rfam family "Bacterial small subunit ribosomal RNA", at positions 1072 to 1533 of the family's 1533-position model. Lineage: Bacteria; Pseudomonadati; Pseudomonadota; Alphaproteobacteria; Candidatus Pelagibacterales. The record is from RNAcentral.
GAGAGUGGGUAGUCCGCACGAGCGCACCUCACUUUUAGUUGCCAUCAUUAAGUUGGGCACUCUGAAAGAACUGCCAGUGAUAAGCUGGAGGAAGGUGGGGAUGACGUCAAGUCCUCAUGGCCCUUACGUGUUGGGCUACACACGUGCUACAAUGGCAUCUACAUCAGGAAGCAAAACGGCAACGUUAAGCAAAUCCCGAAAAGAUGCCUCAGUUCGGAUUGCACUCUGCAACUCGAGUGCAUGAAGCUGGAAUUACUAGUAAUCGUGGAUCAGCGUGCCACGGUGAAUGCGUUCCCGGGUCUUGUACACACCGCCCGUCACACCAUGGGAGUUGGUUCUACCUUAAGGCAAGGUUUUAAACCCUUGACCACGGUAUAGUCAGCGACUGGGGUGAAGUCGUAACAAGGUAGCCGUAGGGGAACCUGCGGCUGGAUUACCUCCUUUCU